This 4407-nucleotide long non-coding RNA is filed under the name Homo sapiens (human). RNAcentral's name for it is "HSALNT0299947". The record is from RNAcentral. Lineage: Eukaryota; Metazoa; Chordata; Mammalia; Primates; Hominidae.
AUCAACCCAUCCUUGAUUAUAAUUUCAGUCGAUAGAUUUAAGACAAGCAGCUCUUACCAUCCAUGCUUCUGUCCCCCAGUGACUAAGAGCAACCCACCUACGGCCAUGGAGCUUGGAACACCGUGCCUUUGUUACUUGCUCCACCCCACAACUGCCUCACAAGCAUCCCAGAGUCCAGUCAGCAGACAGCAGAAGAGACUGUCAGCAGACCACCUUGGAGGGGAUGCUUGGAGCUGCCUAACGUGUGAUUCAAAGAUGAAUUCCAUGUGUUUGGAGAAGAAGCCCUAGCCUCAACACAAAGGUUGGCCACAUUCCAGCCAAGGUAGCACGGAGUGAAGGCCCGUGGAGGGAGAGCUGGGCUUUUCUGAACUACUUCAGUACACCUUGCUGUGCCUUGGCCUGCCGUGUUUCAUCCCCAUGGCUGUCCUCAGUGAUGUGCAUGGUCACUGCUCCCUUCACCACUGAGAAGACGGGCACAGGACAGUCAGGGGAUGUGUCCAAGGUCCCACAGCAGGAAGGGCUGGAGCCAGAAUGUGGUCUGAGAGGCUGGAUAUACAAAGAGACAAUGGCAUGACCAUCUGUACAAAUGGAACUAUGGCCCACAACCUGCAGCAGCCAGCCCAGGAAGCCAACCCGUCACCUGCAGCAGCCAGGAUGGAUGCUGGCCUGCCCUCAGGUGCCCUUGUUGGAGAACAUGGGGGGCCAAAUUCCAAACGUGGCAAGAGAUAACAAAUGACUUGUCUGGUGGCUGAACCCUGAGCUGGGAGCACUGCCUGGAGAAAACUCUGAUACUCAAGUCUAGUUUUAUAUGGCUCCAAACGCCUCCACCAUGAGCUCAAGGCAGUGAGACUGACUGAAAAACCCUCUCUAUUACAGACCACAACAUUGAACCCAACAUCCCCCUAAGUAGGUUGUACUCACAUCAUUGGUCUUAUGGGGAAAUUUUAAGACCUCCCACUUGUAAGGUUUUAUAGCCCUCUAUGGAAUAUUGAAGAAAGAGUAAAAUGCAUCCAAAAAAAAAAAAAAACACUAAACUGGAUAAAUUCUAAGGCCUCUUCAGGUCUUAAGAUGGCCAUUUUCUAGGUCCUCUUGCUGCAGCAGUGAAAUCCACAAACACGGACAAGUCAGUCAGUUACGUGCCUUUCAGAGAAAACUUCUGACUUAGGAAUUCCAGCUAUUUGGCCCAACCCAUAUUAGAUUGUGUUAUAAAGACAUGGUAAAUUACAUCACGAAGGGAAGAGCAGAGGAAACAUAAUAUUCCUUCAAGACCCAUCAGCUCAGAUGUUAGCAGAACACCCCUAAGGAGGAAAACAAGAAAUUUUGGGUUUGAACUUGGUACUUCCCAGCAGCCCUGGGAGUGGGGUCAGAAGCCCUGCUGGGGGCCAAAGAACUCUGAGGAUCAAAGAUGUUGAGCAUCACCUUAGAGGCCAAAGAUCAGAACAGUGGAGGUGGCCUUUGAAGCCCAACCUGUCUUUCACCAGAGAGUGAGAACGGCCUCUAUUUCCAGGAAGCUCACUGCAGCAAUAAUCAUGAUGCUCUGAGCCUGACAAGCAAAAGAAAACUUCUUUAGGAGGAUAAAAGGGAGAUGAAGAAACAGAAAACACAUCAGCUCUCCAUCCAGAUUACAGAAAGCAGAAAACAUCCUGAAGUGAAUAACAUAGGAAUCGCUCUUUUUCCCCCCUGAGAUAGCAGGUUACUUAUGAGAAACAAGCUUGAAAUCUCUGCACCUGGACCAGCUUCCAGAGGCUUUUGUCCUGACCAGCUGGCUUUGGGGAAGUAAAGGAAACCAGAGAAGAAGAGGCUGAAAGAAUUGGUUUCCACCGUGACCUUUGAACCCUCGGGCGAGUUGUCAGCCUCACUGAGGAUGAGUGUACUCCAUAUCAAGUGAGGUCACUUUACUCGCAAGCUUGUUGUGAGGACUGAAUGAAACCUUUUCUUUUUUCUUGGAGUUUCAGAGCAACGUCCCUGAGCCCAGCCCCACACUGGCUUGAGCCCUGUCGUCGGUCAAGACACGGUGCUUUCUCCCCUCCCCUCUGCACUCCAGCUUACUCUGCAGUCAGGAGGUGGCACCACGAUCCCCUUUAAGACUUUGCCACUUGGGCCAGCUGCGCCCCUGUGAAAUUCCCUGUUUCUAUUGCAGGCCACAAGGACGAGCUGAGAAAUGGCUUCCAGUCACCAUCUAGAUUAGAAAGCCUAUAUUUCAAAUAUAGAUAUAUCAAUUAUGCCUGUAAAAAGACAUUAAAUCCCACAGGGCUGUAAUUCCUAGACUCUACGAAUUUCAUCUUGCACCAAAUUUUAUUAUUUCAUUUAUAAUUCGGAUUCUUCAAAUCUAAGAGUGCCUGGCUCAAAAUUAAAAUACCUACAACUAUGCCAAAACUGGACUCUUUAAUUGCCUUACUGGAACCAGUAGCUGAUUCAAAGCAAAACGAAACAAAAUUCCUCCUUUCUCUGAUUUAGUGAAUCAAUGAUCUAACUGAACUCAUUUUUGGACUGAGUUUGCGGCACUUGCAGCCCUGAGGGACACAUUCCCCCACCACACUGAGCCUGCACUCCCAUCAAUGCAAAUGAACAUUUUGCUUAUUCAGAUUGGGGGGGUGAAGGAAGUCACAAAAGGGUUAAUACAUAUGGCAUUUCAUUGUAAUAUGUACUCACUACUAACUAAAUUAAAAGAGAUGUGAGUUAUUAAAAACUCCAUCUUAAGAAAGUAACAGAAAUCAGAGUUCAGAUUCGUUGUUACUGAGUUUCCAACCAACACCUGUGAGUUAAACCUACGGCCACCCUGAAAACGGUUCAUAUUUUCAAAAGCUUCAUCGAAGAUGAGCUGCACUAAAGAUUCAUAUUACAUAUCAUGCUGCAAUAAGAAAAUCAAAUAAGGCCUUUCCAUAUUCAAUAAUAAAGUUUAAAGAAAAGUAAUAUUUGUUUAGCCAGUUAGCCAGAAAUUAGAUGUAUCAGAAUACAUCAUUCUUUGAGCAUUUUAGAAAAAUCAGGGUAUUUCUACAUUGUGUUUUUCUUUGUAAGCCCUCAAAAAAUAUAGAGAAUAUUCUUGAAAUUAUAGUGUUUGUCUUCUGGAACAAAAAAUACUAAUCAAGGAAAUCUACAAAUUUAAUGGUUUAUUGAGUUUCCACAGGAAACACUGUGUGAGGAGGCUGAGGCUUAGAAGUUCAAAAACUAAAAGGAUUGUUAUGAUUUCGAUAAUAAUAUCUUAUGUCUGCACAACAUCUGAACUCAGUUCUUUCCUGAGGUUCUCUCAUUCUUCAAGCAGCCUCUGAGGUAGGCAGGAGCGAUAAUAUCGGUUCCAUUUUACAGUUAGGAAAACAGAGGCUCACAGAGUCCCAAGGCUUAGCGGGAACGUCCGCCCUGCUCUCUGGGUUCUGAAGAACACAGUCGUGAAGGAUGUAAGCCAUUUCACAUUUUAAGACGAAACAGAUAACUUGUGCUAAAUGCAUGUCCCAGCCCUGCCCUGAGGGCAGGUGGGCACCCGGUGGCCUGCAGGGCUGACAAUUGUGAGAGGGAAGCAAGCUGGGGAGGCUCCCUGGAGAGCUGGUGCAGAGCCUGGAGGACAAGGAAGAUGUGGGGCACGCGGAGAAGGAGACAAGGAAGUCGAAGCGGGUAAGGGCGCAGGAGGCCGGAUUUCCUGUGAUGCUGGACACGUGGCAGGACGCGGGGAGAGCCCGUGGUGCUGCAGGGUGGCAUGGGAAGCCCUGGAAGGUUGCCUGCUCUGCAGCAGCUGGAGGGAGCAAGACAGCCCUGUGGCUGGCAGGGUCAGAAGAAAUCUAAGAGGACUAAGAGCCAUAGCCUGCCCUCGAACUCAGGUGUGCUGUCUCCGAUUCAGGCGAAACUCAGGGUUCACCACUGAGAGACGUUUCACCCGGCCCUCAUGGUGCCCUCCUCAGGGUUCCACGGAAUCCUAACGCACGCUCCUCGUUUCAUUUUAGGCUUUGCAUUAAUUUCAACCUGUUCAAGACAUGAAAGCACUAGAGAGCUGAAAAAUUUUUGGAGGACUCCUUUCAAAUGUCAUGCUGCCAAGGCUCCCUGCUGCCUUUUCCAUAUUUAAUCAAAAGCACUCGGUUGCCUGCUUUCAAAGUCGUUAGUGCCAAGCCUCCUGCCCAACAGCCCUAAGCUGCAGCCCUUCAAAGUGCUGGGUGGACUGACCUCAGCCAAUCAGCCAAUCAGACAGCGUUGAGAAAUUCAGACCUUAAUGCUGAGUGAAUGCCCAGUGUCAUUUGUAGCUGAAUGCAGCCGUGUAAUGGGUGCUGGGUGAUUAUCUGUAAUGUAUGGAAAGCAAGAUGAGAAUCUCUUUUUACUCCUUCCCUUACUGUUUUCUAAUCUAAUUGACAAAGAGCUCAGGGAAGUGCAGUAAAAAUUCUUCUCUAGUCAGUGGGUGAAUUUUUUUUUUUUUAAUGUGAG